Molecule: ribosomal RNA, 440 nt
Filed under: uncultured bacterium
Lineage: Bacteria
Description: partial 16S ribosomal RNA
Rfam family: Bacterial small subunit ribosomal RNA
Source: RNAcentral
CCUACGGGGCGCAGCAGUGGGGAAUAUUGGACAAUGGGGGGAACCCUGAUCCAGCGACGCCGCGCGAGUGAAGAAGUAUUUCGGUAUGUAAAGCUCUAUCAGCAGGGAAGAAAAUGACGGUACCUGACUAAGAAGCCCCGGCUAACUACGUGCCAGCAGCCGCGGUAAUACGUAGGGGGCAAGCGUUAUCCGGAUUUACUGGGUGUAAAGGGAGCGUAGACGGUGCAGCAAGUCUGAUGUGAAAUGCCGGGGCUUAACCCCGGAACUGCUUUGGAAACUGUGCAGCUAGAGUGCAGGAGAGGUAAGUGGAAUUCCUAGUGUAGCGGUGAAAUGCGUAGAUAUUAGGAGGAACACCAGUGGCGAAGGCGGCUUACUGGACUGUAACUGACGUUGAGGCUCGAAAGCGUGGGGAGCAAACAGGAUUAGAUACCCCAGUAGUC